RNAcentral lists this long non-coding RNA (7089 nucleotides) under Amborella trichopoda. RNAcentral describes it as "long non-coding RNA (ATRI_LNC000100)". Lineage: Eukaryota; Viridiplantae; Streptophyta; Magnoliopsida; Amborellales; Amborellaceae. The record is from RNAcentral.
UGGUUUGCAAGUUUAUUAUGUAACUUUUCUUAACACACUUCUUUUAUGCAAAUAUGGAGUGAAUUUUUUGGAGCUUUACUUGUUUCCAAUUCCAUUAACUUUUUCUUAACACACACGCACACACACACACACACACUCACACUCACACACACACACACGUGCACACACACACACACACACUCACACUCACACUCACACUCACACUCACACUCACACUCACACUCACACACACUCACACUCACUCACACACAGUCACAGUCAGAGUCACACACACUCGCACACUCACACAUUCACACAUGCACACACACUCACACACACACUCACAACUCACACUCACACUAACACACACUCACAUUCACACGCACACUCACAAACUCACACACUCACUCACACACACACUCACGCUUACUCACUCACGCUCACACUCGCUCACACUCACACACACACACACACACACGCUCACACAUUCACACACACACACGCUCACACAUAUUCACACACUCACACUCACACUCGCACUCACACACACACUUUCACACUUAGUCAUACACACUAACACACACUCACACAGACUCACUCACAACUUACACACACUCACACUCACAGAUAUAUGCUACACAUAUGUGUGUUGUGUAUGGACUGAUGUGUGUAUAUAUACGAUAUGUAUAUACUUAUAUGUUUAUGCGUUUAUGUAUACAAUUGCUUGCUAUCAAUUAUAUAUAGUUAUCAAUGUAUAUAUACACUGAUAUACACACGCACAUGUACCUUUACACGUUGAUAGGUUCAUAUAUACUGUGUAUGUAUACACUGACACUGACACUCACACUCACACUCACUCACACUCACACUCACACUCACACUCACAUUCACUCAUACUCACGCUCACACUCACACUCACACUCACUCACACAACACACACACUCACAGAUAUAUAUAUUACACAUAUAUGCAUGUUGUGUAUGGACUGAUGUGUGUAUAUAUACGAUCUGUAUAUACUAAUAUGUUUGUGCCUGUUUUUGCGAUCUUGAUCUUGAAAACUUGAUUUGCUUAAUGGUUCUUUCUUCUUUAAUAUAGUACUUCUUUUUUCAUGCAAAUAAGAAGUGAAUUUUCUGGAGCUUUACUUGUGGUUUGCAAUUUUAUUAUGUAACUUUUCUUAACACACACACUCUUGCUUCUUUUAUGCAAAUAUGGAGUGAAUUUUUUGGAGCUUUACUGGUUUCCAAUUUCAUUAACUUUUUCUUAACACACACGCACAUACACACACACUCACAUUCACACUCACACUCACACUCACACUCACACUCACACUCACACUUACACUCACACACACACUCACACGCGCACACACACUCACACUCACACUCACACUCACACUCACACUCACACACAGUCACAGUCACGAUCACAUUCACUAUCAGAGUUACACACACUCACAUGCACACACUCACACACACACUCACACUCAACUCACACACACACACACAACUCACACACACACACACUCACAACUCACACUCACUCACAUUCACAUUCACACGCACACACAAACUCACACACUCACACACACACACACACACACGUUCACACUCACACUCACACUCACACUCACACUCACACUCACACACACACACACGCUCACACAUACUCACACACACACACACUCGCACUCGCACUCACACACACACUUUCACACUUACACACAUUCAUACACACUAACACACACUCACACAGACUCACACACACACUCACACUCACAACUUACACUCGGACUCACAGAUAUAUGCUACACAUAUAUGCGUGUUGUGUAUGGACUGAUGUGUGUAUAUAUACGAUAUGUAUAUACUUAUAUGUUUAUGCGUUUAUGUAUACAAUUCCUUGCUAUCAAUUAUAUAUAGUUAUCAAUGUAUAUAUACACUGAUAUACACACUCACACUUGCACUCGCGCAAAUAUAUAAUAUGUGUUUGUAUAUACACUACUGUAUAAGACCAUGUAUAUAUACCUAUUAUCAGUGAUAUAUACAAUUUCUUCUUUCCCAAUUGUGAUAGUCCAUGUAAAUUUUUUUUCUUAUUUGUGCUUGUUUUUAUUAAUAUUGAUGAGCUUCAUCUUCAUCAAGUUUUCUUGUAAAUUAAGAAGCAUGAAAGCAACUUAUCAUCGAGGCGGAUCUCUUUACGUUAUUCGAUAUUUAAGAUCUUGAUCUUGAUCUUGCACGCUUGAUUUCCUACGCUUGAUUUCCUUAAUGGUUCUUUCUUCUCUAGUAUGGUAUUGCUCUUUCUUCUUUCAUGCAAAUACGAAAUGAAUUUUAUAGAGCUUUACUUGUGGUUUGCAGAUUUAUUAAGUAAUGUUUUCUUAACACACACAAUCUCUUGCUUCUUUCAUUCAACUAUGGAGUGAAUUUUUUGGAGCUUCACUUGUGGUUUGCUAUUUUAUUUACUUUUUCUUAAGAUAUACAGCCUGCACACACACACACACACACUCACACUCACACUCCCACUAAUGUAUAAGAAUGGGUUUGUAUAUACGCUUCUGUAUAAGACCAUGUAUAUACCUAUUAUCAGUGAUAUAUACAGUUAUUAGCUCAAUUUGUGUAUGUAUUGAUGUAUAGCAGUACAUACCAUUGUUUUGAGGGUAUAUAUAUAUAUUGAUGCAUAUAACCAUACAACACAUUAGUUAUUAGCUAUAUAUAUAGUUACUAGUGUGUAAAAAUACAUUGAUAUGCGUGUGUGUGAUGUCUGUAUAUAUAUGAUGUGUAUACACGUAUUUGUGUGUAUGUGUAAAGUGUAUAACGGUAAAUUUUCAGUGCAUUACUAUAUACAUUUCUAUAUAUAUUGAUGUAUACACUUAUUAUCAGUUUAUACAUUUAUUAAUGUAUAAUGUACACUGAUUUAUAUACUAUACACACACACACAUGCAUUCAUACUCACACUCACACUCACACUCACGCUCACAUUUACACUCACACAUACGUACACACACACUCACACUCACACUGAUAUCGUACGUACAUGCACCCUUACGCAUUAAUAGUGCAUAUAUACAUUUCUAUAUACACUGAUAUGUAUGACCAUAUAGAUACUUAUUAUCAGUUUAUACAGUUAUUAGUUUAUGUGUAUAUUGAAAUGUAUAUACAUACACUCAUAUGCAUAUGUAUAAAGGGUUUAUAUUUACACUAAUGUAUUAGACCAUGUGUAUAUUUAUUAUCAGUGAUAUAUACAGUUAUUAGCUCAAUUUGUAUAUCUAUUGAUGUAUAGCAAAACGUACCAUUGUUUUCAGAGUAUAUAUAUAUAUACUGAUGUAUAUAACUAUAUAAUACAUUACUUAUUUGCAAUAUAUACAAUUUUUAGGGUGUAAGAAUACAUUGAUAUGUGUGUGCGUGAUGUCUAUAUAUAUACGAUGUGUAUAUACAGAUUUCUGUGUAUGUAUAAAGUGCAUAACUGUAUAUAUAGAAUGCAUUAAUAUAUACAUUUCUAUGUACAUUGAUGUAUAUGACCAUCUGUACACGUAUUAUCAGUUUAUACCUUUAUUAACGUAUACGUACGUUGAUUUAUAUAUUACACACACACGUUCUCAUACUCACAUUCACACUCACACUCAUACAUACUCACACACACUCACACUAGCACUCGCACUCGUACUCACACUCACACUCCUCGCACUCACGCACACUCAUGCUCACGCUCACACUCACGCUCACACUCACACUCAUACUCACGCUCACACACACUCAAACUCACCUCUAAUCUGAAAUGCCUCGGCGAAAUUCCAUAUUACUUUGUAUAGAAUUAAGCAUAAGAAUGGGUUUUUUCUCUUGAUGAAUUGGGUAUGCUAAAUACGCAAUUGUGAUAAUUCAUGUUAAUUUUUUAUCUUAUUUGUACACCAAACACACACACAUACUCACACUCACACUAAGGUAUAUGACCAUGUAUAUACUUAUUAUCAGCGAUAUAUACCGUUAUUAGCUCAAUUUGCGUAUGUAUUGAUGUAUAACAACAUAUACUAUUAUUUUUAGAGUAUAUAUAUAUACUGAUGCAUAUAGCCAUACAAUACAUUAGUUAUUCAAUAUAUAUACAGUUAUUAAUGUGUAAAAAUACAUUGAUAUGUGCAUGUGUGUGUGUGACGUUUAUAUAUAUACGAUGUGUAUAUGCGGAUUUGUGUGUAUGUGUAAAGUGCAUAAUUGUUUAUAUACAGUGCAUUAAUAUAUACAUUUCUAUAUAUAUUGAUGUAUAUGAUCAUAUAUAAAUUUAUUAUCAGUUUAUACAUUUAUUAACGUAUAUGUACACUGAUUUAUAUACUACACACACGCACUCACACUCACAUUUACGCACAUGCAUUCACACUCACACACACGUACUCACACACGCAUACUCACAUAUACACACGCACUCACACACACACUCGCACUCAAACUCACACACUUACUCACACUCAUAGAUAUAUAUACUAUCACCUCUAAUCUGAUAAGCCUAGGAAAAAUUCAUUAUUACUCUGUAUAGAAUUAGGCAUAAGAAUGAGUAUCUUCUCUUGAUGAAUUGGCUAUGCUAAAUACCCAAUUGUGAUAGACCAUUUAAUUUUUUUUCUUAUUUGUACUUGUUUUUAUUAAUAUUGAUGAGCUCCAUCUUCAUCGAGUUUUCUUUAAAUCAACAAGCAAGAAAGCAACUUAACAUCAAGGUGGAUUUCUUUACGUUAUUUGAUAUUUGAGAUCUUGAUCUUGCAAGCUUGAUUUACUUAAUGAUUCUUGCUUCUCAUGUAUAGUACUGCUUUUUCCUUUUUUAUGCAAAUACGGAGUGAAUUUUUUGGAGCUUUAGUUGUGGUUUGCAAUUUUAUUAAGUAACUUUUUCUUAACACACAAACUCUUGCUUCUUUCAUGUAAAUAUGGAAUGAAUUUUUUGGAGCUUUAGUUGCGGUUUGCAAUUUUAUUAAGUAACUUUUUCUUAACACACACACACACCACACACAUACUCACACUCACUAAUGUAUAAGAAUGGGUUUGUAUAUACAUUACUGUAUAAGACUAAGUAUAUACCUAUUAUCAAUGAUAUAAGCAAUUAUUAGCUCAAUUUGUGUAUGUAUUGAUGUAUAGCAACGCAUAUCAGUGUUUUCAGAGUUUAUAUAUAUACUGAUGCAUAUAACCAUACAAUAAAUUAUCAACUAUAUAUACAGUUACUAGUGUGUAAAAAUUCAUUGAUGUGUGUGUGAUGUCUGUAUAUAUACGAUGUAUAUAUACGGAUUUGUGUGUAUGUGUAAAGUGUACAACUGUAUAUUUUCAAUGCAUUAUUAUAUGCAUUUCUAUAUACAUUGAUGUACAUGACUAUAUAUACACUUAUUAUCAGUUUAUACAUUUAUUAAUGUAUAUAUACACUGAUUUAUAUACUACACACAUAUACACGCACUCACACUUGCACUCGCACUCGCACUCACACUUACACUCACACUCACACUGAUUUAUAUACUGAUAUGCGUUUGCACAUGCACCCUUAUGCAUUGAUAGUGCAUACAUAAAUUUCUAUAUACACUGACGUGUAUGACCAUAUAGACAUUUAUUAUCAGUUUAUACAGUUAGUAGUGUAUAUGUAUAUUGAAAUGUAUAUACAUACACUAAUAUGCAUAUAUAUAAAGGGUUUAUAUAUACACUAAUGUAUAAGACCAUGUAUAUACUUAUUAUCGAUGAUAUACACAUUUAUUAGUUCAAUUUGUGUACUUAUUGAUGUAUAGCAAUAUAUACCAUUGUUUUGAGUGUAUUUGUAUUUUUUGAUGCAUAUAACUAUAUAAUACAUUAGUUAUCUGCUGUAUAUAUAAUUAUUAUGUAUGUGUGUGAUGUCUGUAUAUAUAUGUUGUGUAUAUAUUGAUAUGUGUGUAUGUGUAAAGUGCAUAACUGUAUACAUAUAGUGCAUUAGUAUAUUCAUUUCUAUUUACAUUGAUAUAUAUGACGAUAUAUAUACUAUUUAUCAGUUUAUACAGUUAUUAGUAUAAAUGUACAUUGAUUUAUAUACUACACACACUCACACUCACGCACAAUCAUACUCCCAUCCACACUCUCUCUCACACACACUCGUACUCACACUCACACUCAUACACACACACUCAUACUCACACUAACUCUCAUACUCACACUAACACUCACUCGCAAUCACAUUCACACAGACUGACACACUCACAUUCACACACUCACACACACACUCACACUCACAGUCAGACUCACACUCGUUGGCACACUCACACUCUCACAUACACACACUCGCACUCACACUCACAUACACACUCACACACUCUCACAUACACACACUCACACUCACACUCCUACUCUCAGUCACAGUCACACUCACACAAACACUAACACUAACACUGACACUCACAGAGAUGUAUAUUAUACAUGCGUGGUGUGUAUGGACUGAUGUGUGUAUAUUUACGAUAUGUAUAUGCAUAUCUUUUUACGUAUGUAUACAGUUGCUUGUUAUCAGUUAUAUGCAAUUAUCGAUGUAUAUAUAUAUUAAUAUGCGCACGCACAUGUACCCUUACGCGUAGAUAAGUGCAUAUAUAAUGUGUAUGUAUACACUAAUACAUGCAUUCUAUUUUAUAAAAGGAUGAUCAUGCCUCAGAAGGAAGACACCUCGGGAUUUCCUUCUGAAUAUCAUAGCUAGAGUUUUAGUAUUCUGAGUGAUUGUUAUAAAUUUGAGUGAUUAUAAUUUCUGAGUGAUUGUUGUAAACUUGAGUACUUAUUAGGAGUACUUCAAGUUUGUUUUCUGCCUCUCACCCCUAUUUUGAGCUUUUUUUUUGUUUUCUGCCUCUUACCUCUACUUCGAGCUUUCAUGUAAGUGCCUAUCUCUAUUCUGGUUUUAUGAAUAUUCUUAUGAAUGUUACUCUUUCUUAUUUAUGUUUAUGCUUCCGCUAUUUAUGGUAUCGGAGCCGAGUUUAUUCAGUAGAAAACUGAACUAAUUUGUACAUUUAUCUGGUUAACCUACCUAAAGUCCCUGUGACCCAAAGACCACCGCGAGUCUAGAAGGCCAUAAGGUGCAGGGACUAUUUCUGGUUGACUCAAGGAAAGAACACUAAGAUAAAAUGGCAAAUUUGUUUAGAACACUAUCGAAUAGAAC